UCUAUGCUAUUACCUCUCAUGAGGUUCAAUCCUUCCCACAAACGUUUGUGCCUCAAGAACACAGCAAGUUGUCAACAGCUCAUAAAGCAUAUGGAAAUGUGGGUUGUCAUUUUCAUAGACAAAUUGUUGAUUCCUUUCAAGCACCGUUUGGAAACACUAACGGAAAGCAUACACAAUUGGACAGGUGGCAGCCCAGUGCCUGUUCCAGUAAGUUCUUUAGAGAGUACAGAUCUAUCAGUCGGACUAUUAGUUUGUCCUUUCUGCUGUGACUACCAGUCAAAGUCUUUGUUCGGCUGUUUGAGCCUUGGAUACAGGUGACUCACACCUCCCCACCUUUGCAAAGGCAAAAACGCAGCAUUCAGGCACAAGAUUACCAUACUGAACAGGUGUGCAAGUGAGCAAGUGCUGACACGAUGUGGGCAGGACUGCCGGGAAGAAACUGUACCAGGACUGCAGAGGGGAGUCGCUGGAAAAAAAAAAAGGACACUCAUGAACGGAGUUGUUGACGUGGAUCAAAUCUCCUGUUAAGGUCGCAGCAUGUCACAUCCGCACCUUCUAAAUGUGUCCUCCGUGUUAUUGUCAAAUUCAAAGAAUUCCAACAGCAACAACAAACACUACAGCUGUAAAGAAGUAUGUCUUUGAGGAGGGCUGAUUUCCUCUGUUUGUUUUCAGGCAGAGGGAAAGGCAUCUCUGCGAGCCUGAGACUUGCACGGUCUGUAGGUCUCUUGAAGGCCAGGGGUGGGAGAGCGCUGUAGUGUUCUCAUCCAUUAUGCUUUUCCCACCAUUCUUGUGUGCAUGGGAGAGGAAGAGGGAGCAAACAUUCAUAAGGGUUUCUUACUUUCCCAGGCAUUCCUGGUUAGAUGUAAGAGACACACUGGCAUUCAUAUCUACUGACCUCAAGACUACAAAGAUAAGACAUUUUCAGGUAAUUUUCUCAUAUUCUAAUGAUCCUCUUCGAAAAUGGAUGUAUUUUGGGCUUCAAAGCACAAUUGCGUUAUAUGACAAGUCAAUAUUUCAAACCAAACCUCAACUAUGAAUUAAGCAAAUCCAUCUAAAAUAAUAUAAUCAAAUUAGAAUAAAGACAACUGUUAUAAGAUAAAACAAAUAUUUAAAAAGAAAAAAUUUCAUUAGACUAACAAAAUUAAGCUUUUCAGUAGUUGAUGCAACAGCAAGAUCCCUCAAAACCACACAAGCAACAUUUGAACAUGGUUCUAGCAGCUGACAAAUGGCCCUUUCCGAUGAUUACUGUCAACACCAGAGAGAUAAACAUACAAACAAAGAAAUAUAUUUGCUUAAAGCAAAAACUUACAAAAGUAUUACCAAAAAGUCCAAACCCCAAAACAGAAACAUUUAAGUAUUUACUAGAAAUGCAAUUUUUUCUUCUUUUUUUUUAAAGUCUGAAAUAUAAAAAACUGAAAAGCACUUUGAACUGAUCAGUGUGAUCGGCUCUUAAGAGUGAACUGACAUUCUCAAAUGAUGUUUAUUUUAAAAUUGUGAAUAAAUACAUUCUCUAUAACAUUUAUUCACAUUCAGACAUUUUUUAGCAAUAUUUACCUUUAAAAAGUUACUCAAAUAUAUCGGAACAUACUGUACAAUAGGGUUGUCACAAUACCAUAAAUGUAUGUCACAAUACUAUAGCAGCUGAAGUGUCAUGAUACCAAGUAGUAUUCAGAUACUGUAAUUUAUAACUCAAAUUUAUGAAAUGAAGCAAACUGUCCGAAAUAUUAUAUUUUAUAUGUUAUAAUUCUUAUAUUUUACUAUUAAUUUAACAAAAAAAUAUUAUUUGUGUUAUUUGACAUUUGCUGUUUUAUUUAGUGACAUUUCCACAUGCAGAAUUAACCUUUGUGGAACCAUUAAUGAAGAUACUACCAUUUACAAACUACAGUGACAUCAGUAUUUCUUACGGUACUACCAUAGUAUCAGUAAACCAUGCAACUCUACUAUAGAAAAUGUGCAUUACCCAGUAACUCAUUAAGUUAAAAUGGUCAUUGGGUAAUGGCUAUAUUCUGUCCAUUUAUCUCAAUCUAUUACUUGUAUAAAACAUUACAAAAUGUCAUAAAUCACCAAACUUCACCAGCAAUCACAAAGAAAAGGUUAAGCUUCAACAGUGCAGUAUUCAAAACUUCACUUUUUUCUGGAUAAUAUUCCAAUGAAUAAAGGUCAUUGUUUUCAUACCCUACUUUAUUAUCAGGACCCUCAACCUUCAGCUACUGUCAAAACCUUUGAUGAAUUGGUAGACAGUCUCUCUGAACACAACAUAGAUUACACUAACCAAAUAUUGACCUGGCAAGACCCUGCCAAACAGACAGCCCUCCAGUUCCCAAGCAAAGCAAAUGGUAUCCUUUCAUCACUUAAAUGCUAAACUCGCAUUAAUCUUAAGCAAGCAUUCAGUUUAACCAUUCAUUCAAAUCCAAUGUGAAGAAAUCUUAAAGCCAGCACAUGUGAAACCAUCAGAAAUGUGAAACCAUCAGAAAACCUUAAAUCUCAGCUCAGUUCUUACCUUUCUGGCAGUGGUUAGAGGUC
RNAcentral lists this long non-coding RNA (2523 nucleotides) under Danio rerio (zebrafish). Its description in RNAcentral is "si:ch211-200o3.1 (si:ch211-200o3.1)". Lineage: Eukaryota; Metazoa; Chordata; Actinopteri; Cypriniformes; Danionidae. The record is from RNAcentral.